GGCAAGGUGGCGGAGUGGUCAACGCGUUCGACUCGAAUCGCAAUCAAAUUCCUUAGGGAGCGUCAUCGAAUCUGGCCCUUGUCG
Non-coding RNA from Aspergillus viridinutans, 84 nucleotides. The record is from the annotation of a RefSeq genome assembly. Lineage: Eukaryota; Fungi; Ascomycota; Eurotiomycetes; Eurotiales; Aspergillaceae.